GUGCCAGCCGCCGCGGUAAUACGAGAGGUCCAAACGUUAUUCGGAAUCACUGGGCUUACAGAGUUCGUAGGCGGUCCAGAAAGUGGGGUGUGAAAGCCCUCGGCUUAACCGAGGAACUGCGCUCCAAACUACUGGGCUAGAGGAAGAUAGAGGUGAGCAGAACUGAUGGUGGAGCGGUGAAAUGCGUUGAUAUCAUCAGGAAUACCGGAGGCGAAGGCGGCUCACUGGGUCUUUUCUGACGCUGAGGAACGAAAGCCAGGGGAGCAAACGGGAUUAGAUACCCCCGUAGUCC
This 292-nucleotide ribosomal RNA is filed under the name uncultured bacterium. RNAcentral's name for it is "partial 16S ribosomal RNA". It matches the Rfam family "Bacterial small subunit ribosomal RNA", at positions 505 to 796 of the family's 1533-position model. The record is from RNAcentral.